This 1321-nucleotide long non-coding RNA is filed under the name Phasianus colchicus (ring-necked pheasant). RNAcentral's name for it is "lncRNA (ENSPCLG00000000920.1)". Lineage: Eukaryota; Metazoa; Chordata; Aves; Galliformes; Phasianidae. The record is from RNAcentral.
AUGUGCCUGGAUGAUUUGUCUAAAAUGAAAUGGGUUUGGCUUAAAUCCAAAUGCAGGUGUGUUUACCUCAUCAAAAGAGAGGGAGCAAUGGCAGCUCAUUUACUGCUUGUCAAUCAGGCAUAUGGACAUGGUUUAAAAGGGAAUGUUUUCCUCCAAACAGGCAGUGGGGUGAAGCACAAAGAUGGUCCUUUCCCACAGGUGCAGCAGCCAGGCCAUGAGCCCCUGGCCAGUCCUGAAGGCACUGUGCUUCCUAGCACCUCCAUGCAGACCAAAAGACAAAGAGCUGUGGUCAUGGAGAGUCUUUGGCUCUGGUUUACCUAAGCACAUCUUUGUGCACUGGAAGAGGCUUUCUCGUUGAAUGAGAGCAAAGAAGAGAAAUGCUGAAAAGUAAGAGGUGCACCUCAUGGUCAUGAGAAGCUGUAGGUGAUUGUGAGGGGUGAUUCAGGCUCGCAAGGAGGAAAAAGGGAAAUCUGGGGGAAAAAAUCUCCCUUCCUCUCCAGUUUGUUCCAUCGUGGCAGAAUAAGAAAGUAACUUGAGCAUCUGGUCCCUGCUACACCUGGCAGAUGGCGUGCCAGACAUGUUGUUACUUGGACCCCCAGCCAUCCCUCCUCUGCAGCUCCUGGCAGAAGGCCAGCACUCAUAGGCCUGUGCAUCUCAGCACUUGGGUCAGGGAACAGGCUGUGUGUGUGUCCUGUGCUCCCCACACCCAGCCAAGGCAUUCUGUCAAAUGUUGAAAGCUAAGUCACAUUUUUUCUCCUUAUGCUGAGACGUUCCAAAAAUUUCAUUUUGCGAUAAGCAUCUGUAAUUCCUCUGCUUGUUCCUUGCAUGCAGACAUUCCCUCUGGCAGCUUUCUGCCAGCAGCUCACCUGCUUCUCCUCAGCUUAUCAGCUACCAGUGAAUAUCUGAAGCUUUCAGUCCCUUUCAGGUUCUUAUUUUAAAAUGUCUUUUGGUUAAGAGAGGUCAUUAUUGUACCUCACACAGAUGUUUAUCCUGACCCAAAGUAUUUUCUUUUUUGCUAAAGUCAUUUUAUUUUUUUCUUAGAAAAUAGGAGGAAAUAGGAGACAAUGAUAAUUUGUUACUUGUCCAUACACGAAACUCAUGGACAAGCUGAAUUGUGACCAGCCUCGUGUGAGCAUCUUUGCACAGAUGGAGUUUAGAGACCGUGAACUGAUAACGAAAUAGGCUGUGACCUCUGGCUGCACCCAGAGGAGGCCAUGGGCACAGGCCAGGCUGUGCUCAUUCAGUCAUUUCAAAUAUUUGUUAUGCUACAUCAUUACCUUGAAUGAUCACAAGAGCCUCAGCUUUGACAAGCCACUCUUGU